RNAcentral lists this ribosomal RNA (119 nucleotides) under Pteropus alecto (black flying fox). Lineage: Eukaryota; Metazoa; Chordata; Mammalia; Chiroptera; Pteropodidae. The record is from RNAcentral.
CUCCACGGCCACGCCACCCCGAACACGCCCGAUCCCGUCUGACCUCGCAAGCUAAGCAGGGUCGGGCCUGGUUAGUACUUGGAUGGAAGACCACCUCAGAAGACCGGGUGCUGUAGGCG